UACAAUGUGCCUGAAUAAAGGAUAAUUUUGAUAGAAUUAAUAAAGCUAAUAGCCAUUGUAU
This 61-nucleotide transfer RNA is filed under the name unidentified. Its description in RNAcentral is "Wallacea dactyliferae tRNA-Ile". The record is from RNAcentral.